GACGAACGCUGGCGGCGUGCCUAACACAUGCAAGUCGAACGGAGUGAUUUGAAAGCUUGCUUUUGAAUCACUUAGUGGCGGACGGGUGAGUCACGCGGGAGUAACCUGCCUUUCGGAGGGGGCUAACGUUUGGAAACGGACGAUACGCCCCCGUAAGCCGGGCGGCGACAGUGGCGAAAGCCAGCCGGUGGAGUGACUCGCUUCCUAGCAGCUAGUUGGCGGGGUGAAGGCCCACCAAGGCGAUGACGGGUAGCCGACCUGAUGGGGCGGCCGUCCACACUGUGACUGAGAUACGGUCCAGACGCCUACGGGAGGCAGCAGUGGGGAAUAUUGUGCAAUGGGCGGAAGCCUGACCCAGCGACGCCGCGUGGGGGAAGAAGUCUUUCGGGAUGUAAACCCUUGUUGUACGGGACGAAGGAAGUGACGGUACCGUACGAGGAAGCCCCGGCAAACUACGUGCCAGCCGCCGCGGUAA
Molecule: ribosomal RNA, 475 nt
Filed under: uncultured bacterium
Lineage: Bacteria
Description: partial 16S ribosomal RNA
Rfam family: Bacterial small subunit ribosomal RNA
Source: RNAcentral